AGUGAACGCUGGCGGUAGGCCUAACACAUGCAAGUCGAACGGCAGCACAGUAAGAGCUUGCUCUUACGGGUGGCGAGUGGCGGACGGGUGCGGAAUACAUCGGAAUCUACUUUUUCGUGGGGGAUAACGUAGGGAAACUUACGCUAAUACCGCAUACGACCUACGGGUGAAAGCAGGGGAUCUUCGGACCUUGCGCGAUUGAAUGAGCCGAUGUCGGAUUAGCUAGUUGGCGGGGUAAAGGCCCACCAAGGCGACGAUCCGUAGCUGGUCUGAGAGGAUGAUAAGCAACACUGGAACUGAGGCACGGUCCAGACUCCUACGGGAGGCAGCAGUGGGGAAUAUUGGACAAUGGGCGCAAGCCUGAUCCAGCCAUACCGCGUGGGUGAAGAAGGCCUUCGGGUUGUAAAGCCCUUUUGUUGGGAAAGAAAAGCAGCAGGUUAAUACCCCGCUGUUCUGACGGUACCCAAAGAAUAAGCACCGGCUAACUUCGUG
This 492-nucleotide ribosomal RNA is filed under the name uncultured bacterium. RNAcentral's name for it is "partial 16S ribosomal RNA". It matches the Rfam family "Bacterial small subunit ribosomal RNA", at positions 29 to 507 of the family's 1533-position model. The record is from RNAcentral.